RNAcentral lists this ribosomal RNA (468 nucleotides) under uncultured bacterium. RNAcentral describes it as "partial 16S ribosomal RNA". It matches the Rfam family "Bacterial small subunit ribosomal RNA", at positions 28 to 507 of the family's 1533-position model. The record is from RNAcentral.
GACGAACGCUGGCGGCGUGCUUAACACAUGCAAGUCGAACGGAAAGGCCCUGCUUUUGUGGGGUGCUCGAGUGGCGAACGGGUGAGUAACACGUGAGUAACCUGCCCUUGACUUUGGGAUAACUUCAGGAAACUGGGGCUAAUAACGGAUAGGAGCUCCUGCUGCAUGGUGGGGGUUGGAAAGUUUCGGCGGUUGGGGAUGGACUCGCGGCUUAUCAGCUUGUUGGUGGGGUAGUGGCUUACCAAGGCUUUGACGGGUAGCCGGCCUGAGAGGGUGACCGGCCACAUUGGGACUGAGAUACGGCCCAGACUCCUACGGGAGGCAGCAGUGGGGAAUAUUGCACAAUGGGCGGAAGCCUGAUGCAGCAACGCCGCGUGCAGGAUGACGGCCUUCGGGUUGUAAACCGCUUUCGCCUGUGACGAAGCGUGAGUGACGGUAAUGGGUAAAGAAGCACCGGCUAACUACGUG